CCUACGGGUGGCUGCAGUGGGGAAUAUUGGACAAUGGGGGGAACCCUGAUCCAGCCAUGCCGCGUGUGUGAAGAAGGCCCUCGGGUUGUAAAGCACUUUCAGUGAGGAAGAACGCCUGGUGGUUAAUACCCAUCAGGAAAGACAUCACUCACAGAAGAAGCACCGGCUAACUCCGUGCCAGCAGCCGCGGUAAUACGGAGGGUGCGAGCGUUAAUCGGAAUUACUGGGCGUAAAGCGCGCGUAGGUGGCUUGAUAAGCCGGUUGUGAAAGCCCCGGGCUCAACCUGGGAACGGCAUCCGGAACUGUCCAGCUAGAGUGCAGGAGAGGAAGGUAGAAUUCCCGGUGUAGCGGUGAAAUGCGUAGAGAUCGGGAGGAAUACCAGUGGCGAAGGCGGCCUUCUGGACUGACACUGACACUGAGGUGCGAAAUCGUGGGUAGCAAACAGGAUUAGAUACCCUGGAAGUC
Molecule: ribosomal RNA, 465 nt
Filed under: Vreelandella stevensii
Lineage: Bacteria; Pseudomonadati; Pseudomonadota; Gammaproteobacteria; Oceanospirillales; Halomonadaceae
Description: partial 16S ribosomal RNA
Rfam family: Bacterial small subunit ribosomal RNA
Source: RNAcentral